AGAGCGAACGCUGGCGGCAGGCCUAACACAUGCAAGUCGAGCGCCCGUAACAAUACGGGAGCGGCAGACGGGAUAGUAACACGUGGGAACGCGCCCUUCGGUUCGGAAUAACUCAGGGAAACUUGAGCUAAUACCGGAUACGCCCUUACGGGGAAAGAUUUAUUGCCGAAGGAACGGCCCGCGUCCGAUUAGCUAGUUGGUGAGGUAAUGGCUCACCAAGGCGACGAUCGGUAGCUGGUCUGAGAGGAUGACCAGCAUCACUGGGACUGAGACACGGCCCAGACUCCUACGGGAGGCAGCAGUGGGGAAUAUUGGACAAUGGGCGCAAGCCUGAUCCAGCCAUGCCGCGUGGAUGAUGAAGGCCUUAGGGUUGUAAAGUCCUUUUAACGGGGAGAUAAUGACGGUACCGUAGAAUAAGCCCCGGCUAACUUCGUGCCAGCAGCCGC
RNAcentral lists this ribosomal RNA (446 nucleotides) under uncultured bacterium. Its description in RNAcentral is "SSU rRNA". It matches the Rfam family "Bacterial small subunit ribosomal RNA", at positions 26 to 518 of the family's 1533-position model. The record is from RNAcentral.